RNAcentral lists this microRNA precursor (54 nucleotides) under Oreochromis niloticus (Nile tilapia). RNAcentral describes it as "microRNA oni-mir-10610c precursor". Lineage: Eukaryota; Metazoa; Chordata; Actinopteri; Cichliformes; Cichlidae. The record is from miRBase by way of RNAcentral.
AAAGCAUUGCUCUACCUGCACUGUGUACAGUGUGCAGAUGGAGCACUGCUGACU